UUAAACUGAAGAGUUUGAUCAUGGCUCAGAUUGAACGCUGGCGGCAGGCUUAACACAUGCAAGUCGAGCGGUAACAGGGGGUGCUUGCACCCCGCUGACGAGCGGCGGACGGGUGAGUAAUGCUUAGGAAUCUGCCCAGUAGUGGGGGAUAGCCCGGGGAAACCCGGAUUAAUACCGCAUACGUCCUACGGGAGAAAGCAGGGGAUCUUCGGACCUUGCGCUAUUGGAUGAGCCUAAGUCGGAUUAGCUAGUUGGUGAGGUAAAGGCUCACCAAGGCCACGAUCCGUAGCUGGUUUGAGAGGAUGAUCAGCCACAUCGGGACUGAGACACGGCCCGAACUCCUACGGGAGGCAGCAGUGGGGAAUAUUGGACAAUGGGGGCAACCCUGAUCCAGCCAUGCCGCGUGUGUGAAGAAGGCUUUCGGGUUGUAAAGCACUUUCAGUGAGGAGGAAAACCUUACGACUAAUACUCGUGAGGCUUGACGUUACUCACAGAAGAAGCACCGGCUAACUCCGUGCCAGCAGCCGCGGUAAUACGGAGGGUGCAAGCGUUAAUCGGAAUUACUGGGCGUAAAGCGCGCGUAGGUGGUUCGAUAAGCGGGAUGUGAAAGCCCCGGGCUUAACCUGGGAACGGCAUUCCGAACUGUCGGGCUAGAGUAUGGUAGAGGGUAGUGGAAUUUCCUGUGUAGCGGUGAAAUGCGUAGAUAUAGGAAGGAACACCAGUGGCGAAGGCGGCUACCUGGACCAAUACUGACACUGAGGUGCGAAAGCGUGGGGAGCAAACAGGAUUAGAUACCCUGGUAGUCCACGCCGUAAACGAUGUCAACUAGCCGUUGGGACUCUUGAAGUCUUAGUGGCGCAGCUAACGCACUAAGUUGACCGCCUGGGGAGUACGGCCGCAAGGUUAAAACUCAAAUGAAUUGACGGGGGCCCGCACAAGCGGUGGAGCAUGUGGUUUAAUUCGACGCAACGCGAAGAACCUUACCUGGCCUUGACAUCCAGAGAACUUUCCAGAGAUGGAUUGGUGCCUUCGGGAACUCUGUGACAGGUGCUGCAUGGCCGUCGUCAGCUCGUGUCGUGAGAUGUUGGGUUAAGUCCCGUAACGAGCGCAACCCCUAUCCCUGGUUGCUAGCAGGUAAAGCUGAGAACUCCAGGGAGACUGCCGGUGACAAACCGGAGGAAGGUGGGGAUGACGUCAGGUCAUCAUGGCCCUUACGGCCAGGGCUACACACGUGCUACAAUGGUGCGUACAGAGGGCUGCAAACUCGCGAGAGUAAGCCAAUCCCUUAAAACGCAUCGUAGUCCGGAUCGGAGUCUGCAACUCGACUCCGUGAAGUCGGAAUCGCUAGUAAUCGCGAAUCAGAAUGUCGCGGUGAAUACGUUCCCGGGCCUUGUACACACCGCCCGUCACACCAUGGGAGUGGAUUGCACCAGAAGUGGUUAGUCUAACCUUCGGGAGGACGAUCACCACGGUGUGGUUCAUGACUGGGGUGAAGUCGUAACAAGGUAGCCGUAGGGGAACCUGCGGCUGGAUCACCUCCUUA
RNAcentral lists this ribosomal RNA (1543 nucleotides) under Marinobacter persicus. Its description in RNAcentral is "bacterial SSU rRNA". It matches the Rfam family "Bacterial small subunit ribosomal RNA". Lineage: Bacteria; Pseudomonadati; Pseudomonadota; Gammaproteobacteria; Pseudomonadales; Marinobacteraceae. The record is from RNAcentral.